GUGGGGAAUCUUGCGCAAUGGGCGAAAGCCUGACGCAGCCAUGCCGCGUGAAUGAUGAAGGUCUUAGGAUUGUAAAAUUCUUUCACCGGGGACGAUAACGACGGUACCCGGAGAAGAAGCUCCGGCUAACUUCGUGCCAGCAGCCGCGGUAAUACGAAGGGGGCUAGCGUUGCUCGGAAUUACUGGGCGUAAAGGGCGCGUAGGCGGACAGCUUAGUCAGAGGUGAAAGCCCAGGGCUCAACCUUGGAAUUGCCUUUGAUACUGGCUGUCUUGAGUUUGGGAGAGGUGAGUGGAACUCCGAGUGUAGAGGUGAAAUUCGUAGAUAUUCGGAAGAACACCAGUGGCGAAGGCGACUCACUGGCCCAAUACUGACGCUGAGGCGCGAAAGCGUGGGGAGCAAACAGGAUUAGAUACCCGUGUAGUCC
This 425-nucleotide ribosomal RNA is filed under the name uncultured bacterium. RNAcentral's name for it is "partial 16S ribosomal RNA". It matches the Rfam family "Bacterial small subunit ribosomal RNA", at positions 354 to 796 of the family's 1533-position model. The record is from RNAcentral.